AGUACCUGAAGGAAGAGAAAGAAAUUCGAUUCCGUAAGUAGCGGCGAGCGAACGCGGAUUAGCCCAAACCAAUAAAGUUUUCUUUAUUGGGGUUGCGGACAUAUCAUAACGAAGAGGUAUCGUAAUUGAAGAGGUUUGGAAAGACCCACCACAGAAGGUAAUAGUCCUGUAUGUUAAACGAGAAGACUUCAGAUAUGAUCCAGAGUACCACGGGACACGUGAAACCCUGUGGGAAGCAGGAGGGACCACCCUCCAAGGCUAAAUACUACCUAGUGACCGAUAGCGUAUAGUACCGUGAGGGAAAGGUGAAAAGAACCCCGGGAGGGGAGUGAAAUAGAACCUGAAACCCUGCACUUACAAGCUGUGGAAGCACAUUUCUUGUGUGACCGCGUACUUUUUGUAGAACGGGCCAACGAGUUACGUUAAGUAGCAAGGUUAAGCACUUAAGGUGUGGAGCCGUAGCGAAAGCGAGUUUUAACUGAGCGUUCAGUUACUUGACGUAGACCCGAAACCGGGCGACCUACCCAUGAGCAGGAUGAAGCGAAAGUAAAAUUUCGUGGAGGUCCGAACCCACGAGCGUUGAAAAGCUCGGGGAUGACUUGUGGGUAGCGGUGAAAUUCCAAUCGAGCCCGGAGAUAGCUGGUUCUCCCCGAAAUAGCUUUAGGGCUAGCCUCAAGGUGAGAGAUACGGAGGUAGAGCACUGAAUGUCCUAGGGGGUAUUGCACCUACCGAAGACUAUCAAACUCCGAAUGCCGUCAUCUUAUACUUGGGAGUCAGACUGUGGGUGAUAAGAUUCAUAGUCGAAAGGGCAACAGCCCAGAUCGUCAGCUAAGGUCCCUAAAUGUAAGUUAAGUGGUAAAGGAUGUGGGAUUGCACAGACAACCAGGAUGUUGGCUUAGAAGCAGCCACUCAUUCAAAGAGUGCGUAAUAGCUCACUGGUCGAGUGAUCCUGCGCCGAAGAUUUCCGGGGCUAAAACUUACUACCGAAGCUACGGCAUCAGUAAUGAUGGGUAGGGGAGCUUCCCAUACGGGUUGAAGCAUGACCGUAAGGACAUGUGGACAGUAUGGGAGUGAGAAUGUUGGCAUGAGUAGCGAGAUGUGGGUGAGAAUCCCACAGGCCGUAAACCCAAGGUUUCCAGGGGAAGGUUCGUCCGCCCUGGGUUAGUCGGGACCUAAGCUGAGGCCGAAAGGCGUAGGUGAUGGACAACAGGUUGAUAUUCCUGUACUACCGAUAACCGUUUGAGAGAAGGGAUGACACAGUAGGAUAAGCUAAGCACACUGUUGGUUAUGUGUGCCCAAGCAUUGAGGCAGUCAAAGUAGGCAAAUCCGCUUUGAUAAUGCUGGGAUGUGAUGGGGAGCGAAAUUUAGUAGCGAAGUAGCUGAUUUCACACUGUCAAGAAAAGUCUCUAUCGAGGUUAAAGGUACCCGUACCGCAAACCGACACAGGUGGGUGAGGAGAGUAUCCUAAGGCCAGCGAGAGAACUGUUGUUAAGGAACUCGGCAAAAUGACCCCGUAACUUAGGGAUAAGGGGUGCCACCAUCAGGUGGCCGCAGAGAAUAGGCCCAAGCGACUGUUUACCAAAAACAUAGGUUUCUGCUAAGUCGCAAGACGAUGUAUAGGAGCUGACGCCUGCCCGGUGCUGGAAGGUUAAGGGGAUCUGUUAGAGCAAUCGAAGCAGUGAACUUAAGCCCCAGUAAACGGCGGCCGUAACUAUAACGGUCCUAAGGUAGCGAAAUUCCUUGUCGGGUAAGUUCCGACCCGCACGAAAGGCGUAACGAUUUGGGCACUGUCUCAACAACAGACUCGGUGAAAUUGUAAUUCCGGUGAAGAUGCCGGAUACCUGCGACAGGACGGAAAGACCCCAUGGAGCUUUACUGUAGCUUGACAUUGGGUCUUGGUACUACAUGUACAGGAUAGGUGGGAGGCUUUGAAACCAGGACGCCAGUUUUGGCGGAGCCAUCCUUGGGAUACCACCCUUGUAGUACUGGGACUCUAACCAUAGGCCAUGAAUCUGGUCUUGGGACACUGUCAGGUGGGCAGUUUGACUGGGGCGGUCGCCUCCCAAAAGGUAACGGAGGCGCUCAAAGGUUCUCUCAGUACGGUCGGAAAUCGUACGUAGAGUGUAAAGGCAAAAGAGAGCUUGAUUGCAAGACAUACAGGUCGAGCAAGGAUGAAAAUCGGACUUAGUGAUCCGGUGGUUCUGCGUGGAAGGGCCAUCGCUCAACGGAUAAAAGCUACCCUGGGGAUAACAGGCUUAUCUCCCCCAAGAGUCCACAUCGACGGGGAGGUUUGGCACCUCGAUGUCGGCUCAUCACAUCCUGGGGCUGUAGUAGGUCCCAAGGGUUGGGCUGUUCGCCCAUUAAAGUGGUACGCGAGCUGGGUUCAGAACGUCGUGAGACAGUUCGGUCCCUAUCCGUCGCAGGCGUAGGAAAUUUGAGAAGACCUGUCCUUAGUACGAGAGGACCGGGAUGGACGUACCUCUGGUGUACCAGUUGUUCUGCCAAGGGCAUGGCUGGGUAGCUAUGUACGGAAUGGAUAAGCGCUGAAAGCAUCUAAGCGCGAAGCCAACUUCAAGAUAAGAUUUCCCACCG
RNAcentral lists this ribosomal RNA (2592 nucleotides) under Clostridioides difficile. RNAcentral describes it as "23S ribosomal RNA". It matches the Rfam family "Bacterial large subunit ribosomal RNA", at positions 205 to 2819 of the family's 2925-position model. The record is from RNAcentral. Lineage: Bacteria; Bacillati; Bacillota; Clostridia; Peptostreptococcales; Peptostreptococcaceae.